RNAcentral lists this transfer RNA (75 nucleotides) under Caudoviricetes sp. Its description in RNAcentral is "tRNA-Asn". It matches the Rfam family "tRNA". From Rfam's summary of the family: Transfer RNA (tRNA) molecules are approximately 80 nucleotides in length. Their secondary structure includes four short double-helical elements and three loops (D, anti-codon, and T loops). Lineage: Duplodnaviria; Heunggongvirae; Uroviricota; Caudoviricetes. The record is from RNAcentral.
AGCCUCGUAGCUCAAUGCGGAUAGAGCACCGGAUGGUUAAUCCGAAGGUUGCCAGUUCGAGUCUGGUCGAGGUAA